AUCAUCAUCAUCAUCAUCUAGUAUUUAUAUGACUCUUUAAGAUUUGCUUUAUGAAUAUUAUCUCAUUUAAUGUUCACAACAACCCUGUAAGUACAGUGCAAAGUGUAUUUGAACUUGGCCACAUUUUCCUGGAAAUGAAAGUGGAAAAGCAGUUUCACAAGCAUCCUUUUAUUUGAUCCACACCAAUCCUGUGGAGGUAAAUGUGUUCAGAGCUGCUCCCUUCUUCAGCGUCAACAACAACAACAUCACCAUCAUCAUCAUCAUCAUCAUCAUCAUAAUCAUCAUCGGCAACAACAACACUUUUAGGGACAAAGAAGCUGAGGCUAACCAUGCAAAGAAGUUGGUUUAAAAAACUGGAUGAUUACUAUUUGUUUUC
Phascolarctos cinereus (koala) is the source of this 376-nucleotide non-coding RNA. Lineage: Eukaryota; Metazoa; Chordata; Mammalia; Diprotodontia; Phascolarctidae. The record is from RefSeq and is a predicted model, not a curated record.